GGAUGGGUGGCCGAGCGGUUGAAGGCACCGGUCUUGAAAACCGGCAGAAGGGCAACCUUCUCGUGGGUUCGAAUCCCACCCCUUCCGCCA
Molecule: transfer RNA, 90 nt
Filed under: Holosporales bacterium
Lineage: Bacteria; Pseudomonadati; Pseudomonadota; Alphaproteobacteria; Holosporales
Description: tRNA-Ser
Rfam family: tRNA
About the family: Transfer RNA (tRNA) molecules are approximately 80 nucleotides in length. Their secondary structure includes four short double-helical elements and three loops (D, anti-codon, and T loops).
Source: RNAcentral